Molecule: ribosomal RNA, 253 nt
Filed under: uncultured bacterium
Lineage: Bacteria
Description: partial 16S ribosomal RNA
Rfam family: Bacterial small subunit ribosomal RNA
Source: RNAcentral
UACGUAGGGGGCUAGCGUUGUCCGGAUUUAUUGGGCGUAAAGAGCGUGUAGGCGGCCAUGUAGGUCCGGUGUGAAAACUCGAGGCUCAACCUCGAGAUGUCAUCGGAAACCAUUUGGCUAGAGUCCGGAAGAGGAGAGUGGAAUUCCUGGUGUAGCGGUGAAAUGCGCAGAUAUCAGGAAGAACACCAAUGGCGAAAGCAGCUCUCUGGGACGGUACUGACGCUGAGACGCGAAAGCGUGGGGAGCGAACAGG